AGGACGAACGCUGGCGGCGUGCUUAACACAUGCAAGUCGAACGGUGAAGCCCUUCGGGGCGGAUCAGUGGCGAACGGGUGAGUAACACGUGGGCAAUCUGCCCUGCAUUCUGGGACAAGCCUUGGAAACGAGGUCUAAUACCGGAUACGACGCAUCUCCGCAUGGAGUGUGCGUGGAAAGCUCCGGCGAUGCAGGAUGAGCCCGCGGCCUAUCAGCUUGUUGGUGGGGUAAUGGCCUACCAAGGCGACGAU
Molecule: ribosomal RNA, 251 nt
Filed under: uncultured bacterium
Lineage: Bacteria
Description: partial small subunit ribosomal RNA
Rfam family: Bacterial small subunit ribosomal RNA
Source: RNAcentral